GAUGAACGCUGGCGGCGUGCCUAAUACAUGCAAGUCGAGCUAACGGACGAGAAGCUUGCUUUUCUGAUGUUAGCGGCGGACGGGUGAGUAACACGUGGAUAACCUACCUAUAAGACUUGGAUAACUUCGUGAAACCGGAGCUAAUACCGGAUAAUAUUUUGAACCGCAUGUUUCAAAAGUGAAAGACGGUCUUGCUGUCACUUAUAGAUGGAUCCGCGCUGCAUUAGCUAGUUGGUAAGGUAACGGCUUACCAAGGCAACGAUGCAUAGCCGACCUGAGAGGGUGAUCGUGCACACGGGAAAUGAGCAACGGUCCAGACUCCUACGGGAGACAGCAGUAGGGAAUCUUCAGCAAUGGGCGAAAGCCGGACGGAGCAACGAAGCGUGAGUGAUGAAGGUCUUCGGAUCGUAAAACUCUGUUAUUAGGGAAGAACAUAUGUGUAAGUAACAGUGCACAUCUUGACGGUACCUAAUCAGAAAGCCACGGCUAACUACGUG
This 497-nucleotide ribosomal RNA is filed under the name uncultured bacterium. Its description in RNAcentral is "partial 16S ribosomal RNA". It matches the Rfam family "Bacterial small subunit ribosomal RNA", at positions 28 to 507 of the family's 1533-position model. The record is from RNAcentral.